Molecule: ribosomal RNA, 730 nt
Filed under: Paenibacillus amylolyticus
Lineage: Bacteria; Bacillati; Bacillota; Bacilli; Caryophanales; Paenibacillaceae
Description: bacterial SSU rRNA
Rfam family: Bacterial small subunit ribosomal RNA
Source: RNAcentral
UCAGGACGAACGCUGGCGGCAUGCCUAAUACAUGCAAGUCGAGCGGACUUGANGAGAAGCUUGCUUCUCUGAUGGUUAGCGGCGGACGGGUGAGUAACACGUAGGCAACCUGCCCUCAAGUUUGGGACAACUACCGGAAACGGUAGCUAAUACCGAAUAAUUGUUUUCUUCGCCUGAAGGAAACUGGAAAGACGGAGCAAUCUGUCACUUGGGGAUGGGCCUGCGGCGCAUUAGCUAGUUGGUGAGGUAACGGCUCACCAAGGCGACGAUGCGUAGCCGACCUGAGAGGGUGAUCGGCCACACUGGGACUGAGACACGGCCCAGACUCCUACGGGAGGCAGCAGUAGGGAAUCUUCCGCAAUGGGCGAAAGCCUGACGGAGCAAUGCCGCGUGAGUGAUGAAGGUUUUCGGAUCGUAAAGCUCUGUUGCCAGGGAAGAACGCUUGGGAGAGUAACUGCUCUCAAGGUGACGGUACCUGAGAAGAAAGCCCCGGCUAACUACGUGCCAGCAGCCGCGGUAAUACGUAGGGGGCAAGCGUUGUCCGGAAUUAUUGGGCGUAAAGCGCGCGCAGGCGGUCAUUUAAGUCUGGUGUUUAAUCCCGGGGCUCAACCCCGGAUCGCACUGGAAACUGGGUGACUUGAGUGCAGAAGAGGAGAGUGGAAUUCCACGUGUAGCGGUGAAAUGCGUAGAUAUGUGGAGGAACACCAGUGGCGAAGGCGACUCUCUGGGC